Molecule: non-coding RNA, 442 nt
Organism: Enhydra lutris kenyoni (northern sea otter)
Lineage: Eukaryota; Metazoa; Chordata; Mammalia; Carnivora; Mustelidae
Source: the annotation of a RefSeq genome assembly
ACUCCUUGAUCAACUUCUCAAAAUGAGGUUCCCUGCUCAGCUCCUUGGGCUGCUUAUGCUUUGGUUCCCUGGAUCCAGCGGGGAAAUCGUGAUGACACAGACCCCACUCUCCCUGCCCAUCACCCCCGGAGAGCCGGCCUCCAUCUCCUGCAGGGCCAGUCAGAGCCUCCUGCACAGUGAUGGAAAAACCUAUUUGGGUUGGUUCCGGCAGAAGCCAGGCCAGUCUCCACAGGGCCUGAUCUACUUGGUUUCCAAACGUUUCUCUGGGGUCCCAGACAGAUUCAGUGGCAGCGGGUCAGGGACAGAUUUCACCCUGACCAUCAGCAGGGUGGAGGCUGAUGAUGUGGGAAUUUAUUACUGUGCACAAAGUCUACAGUCUCCUCCCACAGUGGUUCAGGCCCGAACACAAACCUCCUGCCUGGGGUCCUGGCUGCCCCAGUGA